RNAcentral lists this microRNA (23 nucleotides) under Gallus gallus (chicken). RNAcentral's name for it is "gga-miR-7469-5p". Lineage: Eukaryota; Metazoa; Chordata; Aves; Galliformes; Phasianidae. The record is from miRBase by way of RNAcentral.
UUUGCAAUGCAAUUUUACAGUAG